AUCCCCAUCUUCACUUUGCCACCCGGAGCCUCUCUGUCCUCGGUGGUCAUUCACGUGGGGGACAUUAGCUCAUCCUCGCGCGCCCCAGUCCAAACCCGCUGUUUGGGCUUUCGGGUUGUUUUGAGGAAACAUUA
Molecule: small nucleolar RNA, 134 nt
Filed under: Fundulus heteroclitus (mummichog)
Lineage: Eukaryota; Metazoa; Chordata; Actinopteri; Cyprinodontiformes; Fundulidae
Description: Small nucleolar RNA SNORA27 (ENSFHEG00000016619.1)
Source: RNAcentral